AUUGAACGCUGGCGGCAUGCUUUACACAUGCAAGUCGAACGGCAGCGCGGGCUUCGGCCUGGCGGCGAGUGGCGAACGGGUGAGUAAUGCAUCGGAACGUGCCCAGUAGUGGGGGAUAGCCCGGCGAAAGCCGGAUUAAUACCGCAUACGACCUGAGGGUGUAAGCGGGGGACCGAAAGGCCUCGCGCCAUUGGACCGGCCGAUGUCGGAUUAGCUAGUUGGUGGGGUAAAGGCUUACCAAGGCGACGAUCCGUAGCUGGUCUGAGAGGACGACCAGCCACACUGGGACUGAGACACGGCCCAGACUCCUACGGGAGGCAGCAGUGGGGAAUUUUGGACAAUGGGGGCAACCCUGAUCCAGCCAUGCCGCGUGCGGGAAGAAGGCCUUCGGGUUGUAAACCGCUUUUGUUCGGGAAGAAAUCCUCUGGGCUAAUACCCCGGGGGGAUGACGGUACCGGAAGAAUAAGCACCGGCUAACUACGUG
RNAcentral lists this ribosomal RNA (484 nucleotides) under uncultured bacterium. Its description in RNAcentral is "partial 16S ribosomal RNA". It matches the Rfam family "Bacterial small subunit ribosomal RNA", at positions 28 to 507 of the family's 1533-position model. The record is from RNAcentral.